ACGAACGCUGGCGGCGUGCUUAACACAUGCAAGUCGAACGGAAAGGCCCUGCUUUUGUGGGGUGCUCGAGUGGCGAACGAGUGAGUAACACGUGAGUAACCUGCCCUUGACUUUGGGAUAACUUCAGGAAACUGGGGCUAAUACCGGAUAGGAGCUCCUGCUGCAUGGUGGGGGUUGGAAAGUUUCGGCGGUUGGGGAUGGACUCGCGGCUUAUCAGCUUGUUGGUGGGGUAGUGGCUUACCAAGGCUUUGACGGGUAGCCGGCCUGAGAGGGUGACCGGCCACAUUGGGACUGAGAUACGGCCCAGACUCCUACGGGAGGCAGCAGUGGGGAAUAUUGCACAAUGGGCGGAAGCCUGAUGCAGCAACGCCGCGUGCGGGAUGACGGCCUUCGGGUUGUAAACCGCUUUCGCCUGUGACGAAGCGUGAGUGACGGUAAUGGGUAAAGAAGCACCGGCUAACUACGUG
RNAcentral lists this ribosomal RNA (467 nucleotides) under uncultured bacterium. RNAcentral's name for it is "partial 16S ribosomal RNA". It matches the Rfam family "Bacterial small subunit ribosomal RNA", at positions 29 to 507 of the family's 1533-position model. The record is from RNAcentral.